GCCCGAGUGGCGGAAUGGUAGACGCAGCGGAUUCAAAAUCCGCCGCCUUCACGGGUGUGAGAGUUCGAGUCUCUCCUCGGGCACCA
RNAcentral lists this transfer RNA (86 nucleotides) under Rhodobacterales bacterium. RNAcentral's name for it is "tRNA-Leu". It matches the Rfam family "tRNA". From Rfam's summary of the family: Transfer RNA (tRNA) molecules are approximately 80 nucleotides in length. Their secondary structure includes four short double-helical elements and three loops (D, anti-codon, and T loops). The record is from RNAcentral. Lineage: Bacteria; Pseudomonadati; Pseudomonadota; Alphaproteobacteria; Rhodobacterales.